UUUAUGUUUUUGAUUUCCUGGCGUGGGUAUUGGCAGGAAUUAAUUGAAACUUUAGCAUGGGCUCAUGAGCGCACACCUUUAGCAAAUUUGAUUCGAUGGAGAGAUAAGCCAGUGGCCCUUUCCAUUGUGCAAGCAAGAUUGGUUGGAUUGGCCCAUUUUUCUGUAGGUUAUAUAUUCACUUAUGCCGCUUUCUUGAUUGCCUCUACAUCAGCAAAAUUUGGUUAAUUUAGUUAUUUAUUUUAUUUAUGUGCUGUAUCGGCAAGAAUUUCAUUCCUUUUCUUUCGAUGGAUAAGGGGAUCCCCCUUCUUAUAUUUCUACAUCUAGGAUCCGAACUAUAUUAUUGAUAAUAAAAUAAUAGGAACUGAACAUUAUGGCAAGAAAAAGUUUGAUUCAGAGGGAGAGGAAGAGACAGAAAUUGGAGCAGAAAUAUCAUUUGAUUCGUCGAUCCUUAAAAAAAGAAAUAAGCAAAAUUCCGUCGUUGAGUGAAAAAUGGGAAAUUCAUGGAAAAUUGCAAUCCCUACCGCGUAAUAGUGCACCCACACGUCUCCAUCGACGUUGUUUUUUGACCGGAAGACCUAGAGGUAACUAUCGAGACUUUGGACUAUCCGGACACAUACUUCGAGAGAUGGUUAAUACAUGUUUGUUACCGGGCGCUACAAGGUCCAGUUGGUAAGGAUAAAAAUACCGUUUACUAUGUUUUGUAUGGAUCUCUAUGAUCUAUGAUCAUGGAGGGGCCCCUCUUUACCAUUCUGUAUAAAUGGACUAUUCUAAUUAUAUAGAUAUGGUAGAGGGGCAUAUCUCAUUUUUGUCCAAUAGUUCUUAGUUCUUCAGCGCGGAGUAGAGCAGUUUGGUAGCUCGCAAGGCUCAUAACCUUGAGGUCACGGGUUCAAAUCCUGUCUCCGCAACGCAACAUAUAUAUAUAUUUUUUCAAAUCAAAAUAUAUACAAAAUAUAUAUAUCUAUUUUUUUUUUUUUAUUUUAGGUGUGAUUCCAUUAUCUAGUCAUUAAUAACCUUUUUGUUUUUGGAUGGUAGGUAAAGAAACAGAACGCUAGAACUACGACACUCUCGUAGUAAACUAUACCAAAUUAGUUAUCAUAGUACAUUACUUCACCACAGGCGGAUAGCGGGAAUCGAACCCGCGUCUUCUCCUUGGCAAGGAGAAAUUUUACCAUUCAACCAUAUCCGCAUUUUUGAUACGCACACAUAUGUCCACACAUAUAUGACAUAUAUGAUAUAUCAUAUAUGCGUCUGGAUCAUAUUUGUGCAGGACCUGAUACUAUCUCUUUCUUCAGGAAGAUUCCGAUUCCAAUAAACCGAUACGAUAAAAUAAGUUAUAAAAAAUAAAUGAUAUCAAUGAUAUGAUUCAUAUUAAUCAAAUUAAAUAAAAUAAAACAAAAGAAAUGGAUUUAUUUGUUUUGGAACUCAAAAAUCUAUUUCAAAAUACGAAUUUAUUAGAAGGAGCGGCUUUUUUUGCAUCGGAGAAAUGCCGAAGAAAAAGUUCAAGAGAUAAGAGAAUUAAGGAUAGCUACCAAAAGACUAAUCCAAUCCAUAAUGAUGUACCAGAAAAUACAACAUUUUUGUUACUUGACCAACCAUCAGAAGAAGCAAAUACAACAGGUACACUAAUCAGUAAGAUUGAUGAAGUCGCAAUUAACGCAAAAACAGCCAAUUGGAAAGCAAUAGUCAUCCUUGUAAUCCUCCAAGCUACCAACAAAUAAACUAUACCAUUUGAUCCCUUGCUUAGUUAAAGUUGUGAUAAAAUGCAUCAUGGCGGGAUUUAACCAUGAAUCAAUUGAUUCUUUAAAACUUAUUACCACUUUAUCAUUUUAUUUAGUUUAGUAUGUAUGUUACAAACAAACAGAUAGACUAGAUCCUGCAUAUACCUAUCAGUAUACAGAUAGAUACAUACAGAUGGAUACAUAUAUAGAUCCCAUCUAGGAUGGUACUAUAAAUGGGUAGUGUAUCAACUCAUAUGGCCAUGUUCUAUUUGUAGGAAUAAAAUAGAAAUUGUCUUUUGGAGAGAUGGCCGAGUGGUUGAUAGCUCCGGUCUUGAAAACCGGUAUAGUUCUANNNNNNNNNNNNNNNNNNNNNNNNNNNNNNNNNNNNNNNNNNNNNNNNNNNNNNNNNNNNNNNNNNNNNNNNNNNNNNNNNNNNNNNNNNNNNNNNNNNNCCCGAACAACCAUGAUCGAUGGUCCUGGAGAAAAUACUAUUUUUUCAUGUUUUAAUGCAUAAAUCUCCGCGGAAAAAACAUGGAAAUAGUAAGCCGAAUGCCAAUGAAGAUCGACAUUAAUGGCGCUCAUGGACAGUAAUGAUGUAAUUAAUAAGAGGAAAGCGAGAUUCUAAAGUCAACGCUUGGUGGAUUCUACAGGAUUAAGCCACGAACAUUCUCAGAAUCUCCUAUUUUUUUGGAAAAAUCUUUAACAAUUCUGAAAGAUCGACAGAGGCGGCUUGAUUUAUUUGGUGAAUGCAUGAACCGUAAUGAUGGUCAAAUGCGGCCAGGAGGUGCGCUCCUUUCAUCUCGGACGAUCCGUUCUGGUCUCAGCGUCCACAGCCUCGUUGGCAUGAAGGUGGAAUAACAGAAAAUUGCCGUUAGCAAAAGAAAAUGGGUCAAAGAAGUUUUGCGCAGGUGGAAGUUGGCCCAGCCAGGGCGUUGUAGGAGUGCUUUCGUUUCGUCAGUCGACGCUCAUCGUGGAGAAACAGGUUGGUCUACAGCGGUGGUGGAGCCGACGGCGAAGAUUUCUCGGCGCCAGUCCAGAGUCAAGCGAGAGUCACCCCAUUUCUUCUCCCUCCGCACCCACCGCUUCCCUUCUUUGGGUCGUCCCUCCGCAGGACGACGACCACGGUCGACGGGGAGCCGACCAUAAAAAUAGCGCCAGCCGUCGUUGCAGUAAAGAACUUCCUCCCGGCAGCUGUCUUACUUCUCUGUCCCCCUCCCGCGUCUAUAUCAUC
RNAcentral lists this long non-coding RNA (2949 nucleotides) under Spirodela polyrhiza (greater duckweed). RNAcentral describes it as "long non-coding RNA (SPOL_LNC000224)". The stretch from base 832 to 905 matches the Rfam family "tRNA". The record is from RNAcentral. Lineage: Eukaryota; Viridiplantae; Streptophyta; Magnoliopsida; Alismatales; Araceae.